UACGAAGGGUGCGAGCGUUGUUCGGAAUUAUUGGGCGUAAAGGGUUCGUAGGCGGGAGUACAAGUUAAGUGUGAAAUCACUGGGCUCAACCUGGUAGCAGCACUUAAGACUGUAUUUCUUGAGUCUCGGAGAGGGUAGUGGAAUUGCUGGUGUAGGAGUGACAUCCGUAGAGAUCAGCAGGAACAUCAGAGGCGAAGGCGACUACCUGGCCGAAGACUGACGCUGAGGAACGAAAGCGUGGGGAGCAAACAGG
This 253-nucleotide ribosomal RNA is filed under the name uncultured bacterium. Its description in RNAcentral is "partial 16S ribosomal RNA". It matches the Rfam family "Bacterial small subunit ribosomal RNA", at positions 524 to 776 of the family's 1533-position model. The record is from RNAcentral.